GAUGGAAGAACGUAGUGAAAUGCGAUAAGUAAUGUGAAUUGCAGAAUUCAGUGAAUCAUCGAAUCUUUGAACGCACCUUGCGCCUUUUGGUAUUCCGAAAGGCACACCUGUUUGAGCGUCAUGAAUACCUCAAUCUCCAUCUUUUCUUCGGAUUGAUGGGUGACUUGGAUGUUGAGCCCUGCUGGUAUGCUAUAUCAGCUGGCUUUAAACUUAUUAGCCGGCUCUGUACUGGAUCGGUUUGACUCGACGUGAUAAUAUUAUCGUUGAGGAUGCAUGUCUCAUGCAGCCGGAAAGUAUCAAAGCAGCUUCUAGCUUGCCUUUAGUGCACUUUUACAUUUUAGACCUCAGAUCAGGUGGGACUACCCGCUGAACUUAAGCAUAUCAAUAAGCGGAGGA
RNAcentral lists this unclassified non-coding RNA (396 nucleotides) under soil metagenome. Its description in RNAcentral is "partial contains 5.8S ribosomal RNA, internal transcribed spacer 2, and large subunit ribosomal RNA". The stretch from base 5 to 121 matches the Rfam family "5.8S ribosomal RNA", at positions 38 to 154 of the family's 154-position model. The record is from RNAcentral.